This 401-nucleotide ribosomal RNA is filed under the name Clostridioides difficile. Its description in RNAcentral is "bacterial LSU rRNA". It matches the Rfam family "Bacterial large subunit ribosomal RNA", at positions 2320 to 2722 of the family's 2925-position model. The record is from RNAcentral. Lineage: Bacteria; Bacillati; Bacillota; Clostridia; Peptostreptococcales; Peptostreptococcaceae.
CCUCAGUACGGUCGGAAAUCGUACGUAGAGUGUAAAGCCAACCGAGAGCUUGAUUGCAAGACAUACAGGUCGAGCAAGGAUGAAAAUCGGCCUUAGGGAUCCGGUGGUUCUGCGUGGAAGGGCCAUCGCUCACCGGAUAAACGCUUCCCUGUGGAUACCAGGCUUAUCCCCCCCAAGAGUCCACAUCGACGGGGAGGUUUGGCACCUCGAUGUCGGCCCAUCACAUCCUGGGGCUGUAGGAGGUCCCAAGGGUUGGGCUGUUCGCCCCUUUAAGUGGUACGCGAGCUGGGGUCAGAACGUCGUGAGACCGUUCGGUCCCUAUUCGUCGCGGGCGGGGGCAAUUUGAGUACACUAUUCCUUUGUUCGAGAGGACCGGAACGGACGUACUGUUGGAGGCUGUU